AACCUGGUUGAUCCUGCCAGUAGUCAUAUGCUUGUCUCAAAGAUUUAUAGCCAUGCAUGUCUCAGUAUAAGUCUUCACACGGCGAAACUGCGAAUGGCUCAUUAAAACAGUUAUAGUUUAUCUGAUGUUCAACUGUUACAUGGAUAACUGCGGUAAUCCUGGAGCUAAUACAUGCGUUAAGACCCGACUUCUCGGAAGGGUUGUAUUUAUUAGAUACAGAACCAAUACCUUCGGGUUUUUGGAUGAUUCAUAAUAAACGAACGGAGCGCGUCACUCUGUGGCGCUGUAUCACUCAAGUUUCUGACCUAUCAGCUUUCGACGGUAGGGUAUUGGCCUACCGUGGCAUUGACGGGUAACGGAGAAUUAGGGUUCGAUUCCGGAGAGGGAGCCUGAGAAACGGCUACCACAUCCAAGGAAGGCAGCAGGCGCGUAAAUUACCCAAUCCUGACACAGGGAAGGUAAGUGACCAUACAAUUAAACAAUGCGGAGCUCUUCGAGUUUUCUGCAAAUUGGAAUGAGGAACAUUUAAAAUCCCUUAUCGAGGAU
This 546-nucleotide ribosomal RNA is filed under the name uncultured marine eukaryote. RNAcentral's name for it is "bacterial SSU rRNA". It matches the Rfam family "Eukaryotic small subunit ribosomal RNA", at positions 1 to 544 of the family's 1831-position model. The record is from RNAcentral.